Acinonyx jubatus (cheetah) is the source of this 828-nucleotide long non-coding RNA. RefSeq lists it as uncharacterized. The transcript is spliced from 2 exons. Lineage: Eukaryota; Metazoa; Chordata; Mammalia; Carnivora; Felidae. The record is from RefSeq and is a predicted model, not a curated record.
ACCUACACAAGGGGGCAUCACAGAGAGCAUGGGACCUGAGUCUGGUGGCUUGAAAGACACCAUUUCUGUGAACAGUUAGAAAAGUGGAUGGUUGACAGUCCCGAGCUUGACUCUCGUAAGAUUGGUCUUACGAGGUCAAAUAGGAUUUAUCUUGUAAAAAGCACUCUAGUUGUGAGGUUUGGUCUAACUGAAGAGUAGUGAAAAAUGAUACUCUGUUCUCUUACUCGGAAAGCCCUAAAAUCCAUUGCUGCUCUAGGGCAUGGGAGGAGUGGUAGUGGUCAAGGGAAUCAGUCUCCCUUCUCAGCGUGACCUUCCUGGCUUCCAGAUGUUUUUCUUUUUUUCUUGGGAGCAGAGGUGGGCUUAGAACUGGUGGGGCCUGAAACUGUUGGAUCACACAUGCAUUUCUCUUCUCUUUCUGUGUUUCCCGUUCGUCUGGUGACCUGGUAUCCGCAGGGGCAGUGACAGCCUCAUCAAGGCUAAGAAGUGAGCCUGGUGACCAUGAACUCUGCCACCAGAGAAGUGGGUCUGUUUCUCCCCUGGUUUUUGAGGAGCCAGCUCGGGGUCCAGCACACACACACCCCCAUCCCACCCUUCAGUAUCAUGUGAUGGUCCCUUCUGCAUCUGGCCUCCCAGCCCUUCUUGGAUGAACAAAGCCUGACCAAUUUUGGGGGGGGGGGGGGGGGGCGGGGAAUGACUUUGUUCCUCCCUGUGUUCGCCAGAGGUGCUGGGACAGCGUGAUUUCCUACAGUGUUGGUUCCUCCCUCCAGGUUGGGAGGCAAUAACCACCAUCCCAGGAAUUCUCAAUAAAUUUUUAUUAGUUAAGCUUAA